UGCCAGCAGCCGCGGUAAUACGGAGGGUGCAAGCGUUGUUCGGAAUUAUUGGGCGUAAAGAGCAUGUAGGCGGCAUGGUGGGUCUGAUGUGAAAGCCCCUGGCUUAACCAGGGAAUUGCAUUGGAAACUGCCGGGCUUGAGGUCGGGAGAGGAGAGUGGAACUCCUAGUGGAGCGGUGAAAUGCGUAGAUAUUAGGAGGAACGCCGGUGGCGAAAGCGACUCUCUGGCCCGAUUCUGACGCUGAGAUGCGAAAGCUAGGGGAGCGAACGGGAUUAGAUA
Molecule: ribosomal RNA, 279 nt
Filed under: uncultured bacterium
Lineage: Bacteria
Description: partial 16S ribosomal RNA
Rfam family: Bacterial small subunit ribosomal RNA
Source: RNAcentral